AUUUGUUUGUCUAAAUUCUUAUCUUAGAAUAUUUAACAUAUUCUAGAUCUUUAAUUUGUUUUUGUAUUAUUCUCUAUAUACCUAACAUCAGACAUUAUUGGCUUCUUAGUAUUCCUAGGAUAUUAUACACUAACCAAAUGAUACCUAAUUUAAUUGCAGAGGUGUAGUUGUUAGAUCUAUAUGUACACAUUCAAAGGUGGGAAGGUAAGCAGGCAUCAACAGAGUUCAAUAGGUGUAAAUUUGUGCAAUGAACCAAAAAUUCUUAGUUCACCUGAUUCGUCUGAAAGUUUUCUGUUAGAUCCCGGUGACAUGCAAGAAAUGUACAUCCAUCCGAAAGAACCUUCAAUUGCAACAAUUUCAGCAGAUUAAAUACUGUAGUUACAGUCAAAGCACCCCUGGUAAAGUCAUCUAGGCCUGCUGAUUGAGACAGCACUGUUGCUGUACUUAUACUGCGCAAAGGACUGUUUGGAGCAGUUAACCUACAGGUAAAAUUAAUAAACAAUUGUAUAAAUGUGUAAAACAAUAGUUUUGAAAAUGUAGAGUGUAGAUAAAUAAAAAUUUAGGCACUUACUGAGACCUAAAAUCAGCAAAUUCCUGGUAAGAUGCAUUGAAAUGAAGUUGGGUAGCAUCAUAGCAGCUAGUGAUUCUGACUUCACCUAUUUAGCAUGAUAGAUGUAAAUGAAGACUGGCAAACCUAGAAAUAGUGUAAAAGAAUAACCUAACAUUAUAACUUACCAUUGACCACCUUCGCCCGACAUAGCUGUAGUACCAAAAUUAAUGGUUCUUUAAGACCUACAUCAUAGUAGGGUAGCAUGGCAGCAACAUGACUGUCCCACACAGUGCACUGUAAGGUAUUUCCCCUAUAGGCAAGUGUGUUAGAAAAAAAUUAAUGUCUUGAAAUAUAGGAACAGAUUUGUAAUAUGAAACUUACUCAUUAUCAGCCAUUUUAAAGUCUAUGAGUUUUGCUGGUCUACCCACUAUUAUCUUGUCAACUGGAGCAUGGAUCUCUACAACUCUGCCUAUUAAAUCUGUAUCAUCACAAAAUAAAUGAAUAGUAGACGAAAUACAAAAAUAGUUCAAAGAAAAAUAGCAAAAGUAAGAUCAAAAUACUUACCAAACAGAACCUUGUCAUUCACUUGAGUAGGGUC
Molecule: long non-coding RNA, 1148 nt
Organism: Ipomoea nil (Japanese morning glory)
Lineage: Eukaryota; Viridiplantae; Streptophyta; Magnoliopsida; Solanales; Convolvulaceae
Exons: 3
Source: RefSeq, a predicted model, not a curated record